Molecule: long non-coding RNA, 1143 nt
Organism: Brassica oleracea var. oleracea
Lineage: Eukaryota; Viridiplantae; Streptophyta; Magnoliopsida; Brassicales; Brassicaceae
Exons: 9
Source: RefSeq, a predicted model, not a curated record
AAUCCAACCCGACGAAGGACGAGGACUGAUGGCGUCUCCUCCGACUUGUCUACGUCGUCAGAAGAAGGAUCGAAAUCCACCACCAAUCGACGAAUCUCUCGGAAAUGAUGGUGUCUCCUCCGACUUGUCUCGUCUUCCACCUCAAAAGAAUGAUCAAAACCCAUCACAAUCGACGACUCUCUCGGUCAUCACGGCGUCUUGUCCGUUGGUUCUCGUCUUCUCCGACGUACGACGACUCUAUCAGUCCUCACGGCGUCUCCUCCUCCGGCGGGCGAUGUCUUCAGUUUGGAGAUCAGCUUCUGGUAAGACCUAUCAAAGCAUAUGCUUCACCGACAGCUGAAACAGCUCGACUCCAAUGGUGCAUGAUUCCACCGCUAUUGUGAAUAGUAAUAAUGGUUGAGAAGAGAGCUCUCUUUCUUCAAGCGCUGACAUGGAGAAAAACAUAAAUGAUCUGAAAGGGAAAGAUCUGCUUAAACGGCUUCACGAAGUUGGCACACUUGCUCAGAUUUCAAGUAUCCAAGGAGAUCAAGUUAUCCUCGUUGGUCAUAGACGGCUUCGCAUAACGGAGAAGGUGAGUGAAGAGCCACUUACAGUCAAAGUCGAUCAUCUUAAGGAUAAGCCGUUUGACAUGGACGAUGAUGUCAUCAAGGCAACAUCCUUUGAAGUUAUUUCAACGCUUAGGGAUGUACUGAAGACAAGCUCACUGUGGAGAGACCACGUCCAAACAUAUACCUAGCAUAUAGGUGAAUUCACUUGUCCAUGAUUAGCGGAUUUUGGAGCGGCUAUAUGUGGUGCAAAUAGGCAUCAAGCUCAAGAAGUUCUUGAAGAAAUUGAUGUUCAUAAACGUCUGCGGUUGACGCUGGAAUUGAUGAAAAAAGAAAGAGAAAUUAGCAAGAUUCAGGAAACUAUAGCAAAAGCAAUUGAAGAAAAAAUUAGCGGUGAGCAACGCCGUUACUUGCUAAAUGAGCAGCUCAAGGCUAUUAAGAAGGAGCUUGGUGUGGAGACAGAUGACAAAUCUGCACUGUCUGGUGAGUACUAACUUAAAGUAUCUUCAUCUUCAAGUAGUCAUUGUAUAUCCACAUAAGAGAUUCACCAUGCAUUCAUAAGACGUCAGUGUUUUUAGUAACUGCAACUUAUGGUAAU